RNAcentral lists this ribosomal RNA (424 nucleotides) under uncultured bacterium. RNAcentral describes it as "bacterial SSU rRNA". It matches the Rfam family "Bacterial small subunit ribosomal RNA", at positions 361 to 776 of the family's 1533-position model. The record is from RNAcentral.
AUCUUGCGCAAUGGGGGCAACCCUGACGCAGCAACGCCGCGUGAGUGAGGAAGGUCUUCGGAUCGUAAAGCUCUGUCAGUUGGGAAGAAAUGUCUGGAAGCGAAUACCUUUCAGGCUUGACGGUACCAACAGAGGAAGCACCGGCUAACUCCGUGCCAGCAGCCGCGGUAAUACGGGGGGUGCAAGCGUUGUUCGGAAUUAUUGGGCGUAAAGAGCGUGUAGGCGGCCUGAUAUGUCAGAUGUGAAAGCCCUGGGCUUAACCCAGGAAGUGCAUUUGAAACUGUCAGGCUCGAGUAGGGGAGAGGGAAGUGGAAUUCCUGGUGUAGAGGUGAAAUUCGUAGAUAUCAGGAGGAACACCGGUGGCGAAGGCGACUUCCUGGCCCUAUACUGACGCUGAGACGCGAGAGCGUGGGUAGCAAACAGG